CUUCUUCAUUGAUUGUAACUCAAGUUUUUCGGAGAUCUUCCUCCCCUUUCACUCAAACUUGUUGAUUUUGGGGGACUCAAAGACAAAUUGGAGACUCAUAGACGGUUGGAGUCCUCGGGGAGAAAAUGAUUUGUGAUUUUUCCCGUCGUCUGUGAAGGUUUUGAGAUCGCCUCAAGGAGAUUUGCUGCUGGUUGGAAUGCUUCCGGGGUGUCAUGAUCAUUCUUCCUGGAAUAGAAUAAUCGAGUGCAAUAUGGGCUAAAACAAUGAGGGGCCUCGCAGGGAAGACAACCAGGAGACUUAAAGAUGAAGUCGGAAGAGCCACGAGGCGGCCACAAGGACGGAGGGUGCGCACCCCACACUUGUGGGCCCCACGUGCACCCCCAGACCUAAUUUCUUCGGCUAUAUAUUUCCAUAUACCCCCAAACCAACAGAGGCAUCCACGAAAACAUUUUUCCGCCGCCGCAACCUUGUGUACUCAUGAGAUUCUGUCAAGGGACCUUUUCUGGCGUCCUGCCGGAGGGGGAUUCGAUCAUGGAGG
This is a long non-coding RNA of Triticum aestivum (bread wheat), 538 nucleotides long. RefSeq lists it as uncharacterized. Lineage: Eukaryota; Viridiplantae; Streptophyta; Magnoliopsida; Poales; Poaceae. The record is from RefSeq and is a predicted model, not a curated record. The transcript is spliced from 4 exons.